RNAcentral lists this ribosomal RNA (253 nucleotides) under uncultured bacterium. RNAcentral describes it as "partial 16S ribosomal RNA". It matches the Rfam family "Bacterial small subunit ribosomal RNA", at positions 524 to 776 of the family's 1533-position model. The record is from RNAcentral.
UACGUAGGGGGCGAGCGUUGUCCGAAGUUACUGGGCGUAAAGAGCGCGUAGGCGGACCCUUAAGUGAGGGGUGAAAGGUUCGGGCUCAACCCGGAGAGUGCCUUUCAUACUGGGGGUCUUGAGUGCGGGAGAGGCAAGUGGAAUGGUCGGUGUAGCGGUGAAAUGCGUAGAUAUUGCUCGGAAGGCCGGAGCCGAAGGGGCCCUACUGGUACGCAACUGACGCUGAGGCACGAAAGCGUGGGGAGCAAACAGG